UACGUAGGGGGCAAGCGUUGUCCGGAAUCAUUGGGCGUAAAGAGCGUGUAGGCGGCCCGAUAAGUCCGCUGUGAAAGUCCAGGGCUCAACCCUGGGAUGCCGGUGGAUACUGUCGGGCUCGAGUCCGGAGGAGGAGUGUGGAAUUCCUGGUGUAGCGGUGAAAUGCGCAGAUAUCAGGAGGAACACCAAUGGCGAAGGCAGCACUCUGGGACGGUACUGACGCUGAGACGCGAAAGCGUGGGGAGCGAACAGG
This 253-nucleotide ribosomal RNA is filed under the name uncultured bacterium. RNAcentral describes it as "partial 16S ribosomal RNA". It matches the Rfam family "Bacterial small subunit ribosomal RNA", at positions 524 to 776 of the family's 1533-position model. The record is from RNAcentral.